Long non-coding RNA from Homo sapiens (human), 645 nucleotides. RefSeq lists it as uncharacterized. The record is from RefSeq and is a predicted model, not a curated record. The transcript is spliced from 2 exons. Lineage: Eukaryota; Metazoa; Chordata; Mammalia; Primates; Hominidae.
AGGGACAGGAAUCAGAUGGGCAUAGGGCAUCUGGUCCAUGAUCAUCCUUUGUUCGUGCUGAUCUCUGAUGAAAUAUCUGAAGAAGAAGGAGAACACCAUGUGAAGCUGGAGGCAGAGAUUGGAGUGACACGCCUACAAACUGAGGGGCACCAAAGACCACCAGCAACCACCAGAAGCUGGAAGAGGCAUGGCACAGAUGACCACAAGAGCCUCCAGAAGGAACCAACCAUGCUGACGCCUUGAUUUUGGACUUCCAGCCUCUCAAAUUGUGAGCAAAUAAAUUUUUGUUGUUUUAAGCUACCCAGUUGUGGUACACUGUUAUGGUAGCCUGAUAUAGUUUGGCUGUGUCCCCAUGCAAAUCUCAUCUUGAAUUGUAGCUCCCAUAAUUCCCACAUGUUAUGAGAGGGAUCCGGUGGGAGGUAAUUGAAGCAUGGAGAAAGGUCUUUCCCAUGCUGUUCUCAUGAUAGCGAACACAUCUCAUGAGAUCUGAUGGUUUUAUAAAUGGGAGUUUCCCUGUACAUGCUCCCUUUGCCUGCCACCAUGUGAGACGUGACUUUGUUCCUCCUUCACCUUCUGCCAUGAUUGUGAGCCCUCCUCAGCCAUGUAGAACUGUGAUUCCAUUAAACCUCUUUCCUUUAUAAAUUA